CAAAUACGUAGCAGUUAUCCAAGAAAAAAAAUAAAGCUGAACUAGUUCAGGAACAUUGUUAUUUAUUAACUGCGUUAAUGUUUUAUAAAUGUAGCUGUAUCUGUUCGUGAACUGGGAUCCGCUUGUAUUACGCUUCACUCAACAAAGUGUAGAAAUCCGCCUAGAACCAGCUUAUUCGGUUCGAAGACUUAGUGGCGUUAAACAGCAACAGCAACAAAAAAAAUACUUCCUUGUUCACAAUGUACGCAAUUCAUAUUCAGAGUAAAAGAAAAUAGAUACUAGUCAAAUUGAUUUAAACUUUUAGAGGGAUUUAAACCAAUAGAAUUAAUGAGACAUCUCUCCAUCCAAGACGCAAUGUGUAAUCAAAGUACUGGAGUACUGAACAUCGGAUGACCGCAAGUUCUUGUGGAUGAUCACAAGCACUUGUCUCAGAAAAAAAUCAUAUUCUACAUCUUUACAAAACGGAAUUUUUAUACAGGACCACUAACACAGUACGUGACCUCUAUAACAGCUAUGUUGAAGAAGAUCUUCAUAUGAACACCUAUCGUAUGGCUAUUAGAAUAUACAAGGUAUUGGAGUGCACCACGACCAUACCUCGUCUCAAUAGAUAAUUGCUAUUAUAAGUACUAUUUCCACCACUUCAAAAUAGACGAACUCCUUAUAUAUUCGAUGUUAUUUUUUUUUUCAGUCGGGCGCCAAACGCUACAGUAGUAAAGCAUGUUCGCCUGCUAUCAUUAACACGAUUAAACUCUAGACAGCCAGAAUAGUCAGCUAGCGUUCUCACGACUUUGGUAAACAUGUUAAAGUAGCCAGCACUUUGUUAACCCAUGAUUUUGGGUGGUUAUACAAUAACUCGGCCGCAGAAAGAGUGUACUAAUUAUGUUUAAAUAGUGCAAUUAAAGCUGUUUAUCGUUUCAACACUAUAAAUUACGAUGUAUUUUAACAUUUAAUUCAAAAUGUCAAAUAUUUGAUUAGUGAUCAAAUUUCUAAAUGUUGAAAACUGUGACGAAAUGCGUAAAUAUAUGUUAUGACAUUCACUUCACAAUCAGUGGAAGAUCCAUAAUUUUUCAUAAGUGGGGCCCAAUGACUGCCUAAGAGGGGAACCGCUCCAGUCAUGAUUCCCUAUGGAAUCAACCAAAUUUUUCCCACAAAGGGGGGGGGGGGGCACAUGAAAAACCCUCUAAAUCCGCAUCUGGCAGUAGAGUUCCAUUAUAAUUAUUAUUAUUAGCAUCAUUAUACCGUAAAAUUACUAUUCAAGUAAAAAUUAUUGAAGGUACAAAUAAAACAGAUAUACCCAAAAUGCUACAACGAUGUUUAUGUUGAAUAAAUUAUUUUACCAGAAUAAUCCCUCCUCUUAUAGAAAGGUUUAUGAAGUAAUGGUAGAUCAGCAAAGUACCGGUAUAACGACAGAAUUAUAAGGGUUACAAUUAACCAUACAUUGUUAUACGUGUUUUAUAUAUAGGUAUAGUAUACUAAAGUUACAGUUAUUUAACUCUAAUCAAAUCUCACAAAUUGAUUAAAAAGACAAACCGAAACAUUAAUAAAAAAAAAAAAACAAAAAA
This 1562-nucleotide long non-coding RNA is filed under the name Mytilus galloprovincialis (Mediterranean mussel). The record is from RNAcentral. Lineage: Eukaryota; Metazoa; Mollusca; Bivalvia; Mytilida; Mytilidae.